Long non-coding RNA from Zophobas morio, 224 nucleotides. RefSeq lists it as uncharacterized. Lineage: Eukaryota; Metazoa; Arthropoda; Insecta; Coleoptera; Tenebrionidae. The transcript is spliced from 3 exons. The record is from RefSeq and is a predicted model, not a curated record.
UUGUUAAUUCAUACAAGGGUACUCAUUUCCCUACUGAAUUUGGAUUGUGUACCUUCCUUCAUUCCCCUUUAUGUGAAAAUUUGCUCUAUGUUAACGUUGGCGAUAGAAUUGACAUAUCUGCAAGCAGAUCUUACUGGGUUUACGUUGAGAAGACUUACGACAAAAAGUACGAAAAGAUAUUAAAUGAAAAGGAAAGAAUGCUAAAAAAGGGAUGGAUUCCUCGG